Molecule: long non-coding RNA, 330 nt
Filed under: Equus asinus (donkey)
Lineage: Eukaryota; Metazoa; Chordata; Mammalia; Perissodactyla; Equidae
Description: lncRNA (ENSEASG00005031479.1)
Source: RNAcentral
CUAACAAGAACUGCAGAGCCUCCUGGAUUACCCUCUUCCCACAGCACAGGCAUCAAACAUGCCUUGUGGAUGUGCAUACGUAACAUCUGAAUGGAUGUGCAUCAUAAGUUGAGUCAACAGGCAUUAAGUCUUGCCAUAUACCAUUUCAGGUAGAAGCUUCCAUUCUAGCAAAUAAAGGGAAACUGAAAAAGAGCUAUGCCAAACCAAAUUCUUCAUCAACCACAUCAUGGUCUGAGAAGAUGUGAAAAUCAUUUGACAAAGAUUCUAAAUGGGUGGCAAACUCAAGUACCUACUAUGAGUGAAGCUGGUAGGGCAAGGACUGAAGUGAAC